RNAcentral lists this ribosomal RNA (253 nucleotides) under uncultured bacterium. RNAcentral's name for it is "partial 16S ribosomal RNA". It matches the Rfam family "Bacterial small subunit ribosomal RNA", at positions 524 to 776 of the family's 1533-position model. The record is from RNAcentral.
UACGAGGGGUGCAAGCGUUGCUCGGAAUUAUUGGGCGUAAAGGGUAGGUAGGUGGUCUCAUUUGUCUGGGGUGAAAGCCUUGAGCUUAACUCAAGAAGUGCCCCAGAAACGGUGAGACUCGAGUCCUGGAGAGGGUCGUGGAAUUCCCGGUGUAGCGGUGAAAUGCGUAGAGAUCGGGAGGAACACCAGCGGCGAAGGCGACUCUUUGGCCUGUAACUGACGCUGAGGCGCGAAAGCGUGGGGAGCAAACAGG